AACGAACGCUGGCGGCAGGCUUUACACAUGCAAGUCGAACGCAUCGCAAGAUGAGUGGCAGACGGGCGAGUAACGCGUGGGAACAUACCCUUUUCUACGGAAUAGCACGGGGAAACUGGAAUGAAUACCGUAUACGCUCUACGGGGGAAAGAUUUAUCGGGGAAGGAUUGGCCCGCGUUGGAUUAGGUAGUUGGUGGGGGAAAGGCCUACCAAGGCGACGAUCCAUAGCUGGUCUGAGAGGAUGAUCAGCCACAUUGGGACUGAGACACGGCCCAAACUCCUACGGGAGGCAGCAGUGGGGAAUAUUGGACAAUGGGCGCAAGCCUGAUCCAGCCAUGCCGCGUGAGUGAUGAAGGCCUUAGGGUUGUAAAGCUCUUUCACCGAUGAAGAUAAUGACGGUAGUCGGAGAAGAAGCCCCGGCUAACUUCGUGCCAGCCGCCGCAGUAA
Molecule: ribosomal RNA, 447 nt
Filed under: uncultured bacterium
Lineage: Bacteria
Description: partial 16S ribosomal RNA
Rfam family: Bacterial small subunit ribosomal RNA
Source: RNAcentral